AGCUCCAAUAGCGUAUAUUAAAGUUGUUGCAGUUAAAAAGCUCGUAGUUGGAUGUCUGGCCUUGUGUUGCGGUCCACCGCGAGGUGAGCACUGCGAUGUGGGGUCUUCCUCCUGAGUGCUGCGUGUGCUCUUAGUUGAGUGUGCGGAGUGUUUGGGAUCUUUACUUUGAAAAAAUUAGAGUGUUCAAAGCAGGCGAUUGCUUGAAUAUAUUAGCAUGGAAUAAUGGAAUAGGACUUUGGUUCUAUUUUGUUGGUUUCUAGGACCGAGGUAAUGAUUAAUAGGGGUAGUUGGGGGCAUUCGUAUUUAAUUGUCAGAGGUGAAAUUCUUGGAUUUAUGAAAGACGAACUUCUGCGAAAGCAUUUGCCAAGGAUGUUUUCA
Molecule: ribosomal RNA, 378 nt
Filed under: uncultured eukaryote
Lineage: Eukaryota
Description: SSU rRNA
Rfam family: Eukaryotic small subunit ribosomal RNA
Source: RNAcentral